RNAcentral lists this ribosomal RNA (440 nucleotides) under uncultured bacterium. RNAcentral's name for it is "partial 16S ribosomal RNA". It matches the Rfam family "Bacterial small subunit ribosomal RNA", at positions 338 to 795 of the family's 1533-position model. The record is from RNAcentral.
CCUACGGGGUGCAGCAGUGGGGGAUAUUGCACACUGGGGGGAACCCUGAUGCAGCGACGCCGCGUGGGUGAAGAAGCGCCUCGGCGCGUAAAGCCCUGUCAGCAGGGAAGAAAAUGACGGUACCUGAAGAAGAAGCCCCGGCUCACUACGUGCCAGCAGCCGCGGUAAUACGUAGGGGGCAAGCGUUAUCCGGAUUUACUGGGUGGAAAGGGGGCGCAGACGGCGAUGCAAGCCAGGAGUGAAAGCCCGGGGCCCAACCCCGGGACUGCUCUUGGAACUGCGUGGCUGGAGUGCAGGAGGGGCAGGCGGAAUUCCUGGUGUAGCGGUGAAAUGCGUAGAUAUCAGGAGGAACACCGGUGGCGAAGGCGGCCUGCUGGACUGCAACUGACGUUGAGGCCCGAAAGCGUGGGGAGCAAACAGGAUUAGAUACCCGAGUAGUC